Molecule: small nuclear RNA, 196 nt
Organism: Medicago truncatula (barrel medic)
Lineage: Eukaryota; Viridiplantae; Streptophyta; Magnoliopsida; Fabales; Fabaceae
Rfam family: U2 spliceosomal RNA
About the family: U2 is a small nuclear RNA (snRNA) component of the spliceosome (involved in pre-mRNA splicing). Complementary binding between U2 snRNA (in an area lying towards the 5' end but 3' to hairpin I) and the branchpoint sequence (BPS) of the intron results the bulging out of an unpaired adenosine, on the BPS, which initiates a nucleophilic attack at the intronic 5' splice site, thus starting the first of two transesterification reactions that mediate splicing.
Source: Rfam
UUACCUUUCUCGGCCUUUUGACUAAGAUCAAGUGUACUAUCUGUUCUUAUCAGUUUAAUAUAUGAUAUGUGGUUCAAUGGGUCACACGAUAUUAAAUUACUUUUUUUAAGGGGGAGAGGCCAUUUCGAUAGCUUGCUAUUGAGCUUUUCAAGUGUAGCUUAUGUGUUGCACUACUGCAUAGGCCGUCGCACCCCAC